CGGGAUCUUAUACCGUGCCAAGGUAGCAUAAUCACUUGUCAUCUAAAUAAUGACUAGUAUGAAUGGCCCUAUGAGGACUUCCCUGUCUCUUAUAACCAAUCAAUGAAACUGAUCUCCCAGUACAAAAGCUGGAAUAAUAACACAAGACGAAAAGACCCUGUGGAACUUCUAAGUGCUAAUUAACAACAUAAUACAACCACUUUUAGUUGGGGCAACUUUGGAAUAAAAUAAAACUUCCAAUUAAAGUAACACCACUUUAACUAAAAACCAGGUCCACACACCGACCUUUUAACUUACACCGACCCAGUAUUACUGAUAAAAGAAACAAGCUACCCCAGGGAUAACAGCGCCAUCCCCUCUUAGAGUCCAAAUCGACGAGCGGGGCUUACGACCUCGAUGUUGGAUCAGGGCCCCCAAACAGUGCAGAGCUGUGAAAGGUUUG
RNAcentral lists this ribosomal RNA (442 nucleotides) under Aspidoscelis marmoratus (Marbled whiptail). RNAcentral's name for it is "partial 16S ribosomal RNA". It matches the Rfam family "Bacterial large subunit ribosomal RNA", at positions 1934 to 2575 of the family's 2925-position model. The record is from RNAcentral. Lineage: Eukaryota; Metazoa; Chordata; Lepidosauria; Squamata; Teiidae.